AGACUGCUGUGCUAGCAAUCAGCGAGACUCCGUGGGCGUAGGACCCUCCGAGCCAGGUGUGGGAUAUAGUCUCGUGGUGCGCCGUUUUUUAAGCCCGUCGGAAAAGCGCAGUAUUCGGGUGGGAGUGACCCGAUUUUCCAGGUGCGUCCGUCACCCCUUUCUUUGACUCGGAAAGGGAACUCCCUGACCCCUUGCGCUUCCCAAGUGAGGCAAUGCCUCGCCCUGCUUCGGCUCGCGCACGGUGCGCGCACCCACUGACCUGCGCCCACUGUCUGGCACUCCCUAGAGAGAUGAACCCGGUACCUCAGAUGGAAAUGCAGAAAUCACCGUCUUCUGCGUCGCUCACGCUGGGAGCUGUAGACCAGAGCUGUUCCUAUUCGGCCAUCUUGGCUCCUUAUUCUCAUUACCUUCUUGAGUUGUGGCUCAGACACUACAACAGAGCUCUGUCACCUCUUUCUAAAAGCUGGGAAAUGGUUAUUGUCAACGCCAGCCCCAUUUUGGAGGCACCUGGUUGCAGGGGACCACAGCUAGCUGGGUGCGGUGGCUCAGGACUGUAAUUCCAGCUACAUGAGAGGAUUGCCUGAGGCCAGGAGUUUGAGACCAGCCUGAACAACAUAAUAGACUGGGAGCUCCAUGAGGUCCGAGACAACCUGAAGACGCCCAGCUCAGCAGAGACUGGCUACGGCAAUCACUCAGUAACUAUUUGUUGAAUUGGACAUAAUAGAAGAGCUGAAGAAUUUUAAACAAGUCACCAUCAGUGCAGUGGAUUCCUCAAAGCAAACCUGGAAAUCUCGGCAUGAGUUGGAUUUAAGGCAGUACAUUUUCAGCUCCUGAAAAUUUGAACAGUUUCUCAAGAGAACAACUUGAAACAGAAAGGCAAGGAUGUAGAUGUGGUUGUAGAAGAUGAUGUCUGCGGCCACCAAACUGUCCACUGUGAAGACAAACCAUGCAUGUUUAGUAGGCAGUGGCUCCUCUUCCCUGUGGGGAGUCCCACUGCUUCCCUGGCCUGGGUGUUCUCUGCCGGUAGAUGUUAUUGACAAAAUAAGCAAAGUCCUCUGAUUCUGAGAAUUAGAGUUAAUGAUAGCUCUAGAUUGCCUCUGCCAUGCUAUUUAAAGUCCUGCUUUAUUGUCUGACAUGAGUUCGGCAUCUAUGAGGACUUGUCCAGUGCAAAGUACAAUCUCCACUGAAAGAUAUCACCAGCACAUCUUGUCACUGUGCUGUAGCAAGCUGGGCAGUACAAUGAUGUUGGCAGGAUCCUGUUUAGGUGGAGGAUGGCCACCUGGGCAUCAAGAAUCUUCUACCCUGAUUCCACAUUGACUCCCCAAAGUGGGCUUCAGACAGCUCUUUACUUACGUCUUCUGAUUAAAGCAGCAGACAGGGUCCCAGCUAGAGAAAAGUUCUGGGAGCAGGAGAGGUGUUGGUGGCUUUAAAACCAGGGGUGAAGAUUGAAUUAGGAGGUUAGGCAGGAGUAGGAUCAAAGACUUAGAAAAUGCUUGUUUCCUCCUAUUAUUCUUAUGAGAGCUGAUACGGGGCUUUCAGUUUUGGGGGAGAGCCUUGGAAGAGAAUGAGGGAAUUUAAUCAACUAGCGGGACCUUUCCAACUUACAUUUCCCAGUGUUUGUUGGAUGAUACGUUUGCCUAAUAAGUUAAAGCUUCCAAAAAUAGAAAGGAAAGCUUGGUGACACUAAGCUCUGGCAUGCUGUCAUCUUCUGGCUAGGGGUCUUGUGCUUCUGUUUUUCUAUUUCUGACCAAAGACAUAAAAUGUGUUGUGACCUCUCAGGUAAUGCUGUGGUAUCAUGUCCAAGCAGUAACUAACCAGAGUGGAGUUUUUACAGGUAAAAAAGUAUUGAAUAGCUCAGCAACAGGGAGGACUUAAUGAUAAAUUGCUUUUUCAGAAAAUGACAAGGGGACAGACACUUGCGGUUCUUCCAUUGAGAGCCUUAAGGAAGUUAAGCGAAGCCUCUGCUCACCCCUUCAAGUAACGAUGACCCAUCAGAUCGUGGUCAUAACCAGUAGCAUCUGAGGCACCCCUAAGCUCUCUGGGCCCCAGAUUCCUUGUUAAGUUAAAUGAGGUGACUUCCCAGUUUACCAUUCUAGGGGUUCCUGAGGAGUUAAAAAUGAAGGAGAAAAUGCAACAUGUACCAAGUGAGCAAGAGCUCAAGGCUUAUCUCUGGCACGAAAGUGACCGCUGUCCGUUAGAGAUGUGAUUGCCCUAGAUUUCCUUUAGGAAAUGCAAACAUUGAACUCUGGCCUUCAGGACCCAAGUCCCGGCUUGCAUCUAUUCUAUACACUUUCUGUUAUUUGUUAGGGCUCACAAGGAACAGUUAUUUAUCUUUUAUUUUCUAUUUUUUUUUUAGAGAUGGAGUCUCACUCUGUCUCCCAGGCUGGAGUGCAGUGGUGCCAUCUCAGCUCACUGCAACCUCCACCUCCCGGGUUCAAGCAAUUCUCCUGUCUCAGCCUCCUGAGUAGCUGGGACUACAGGCGUGUGCCAUCAUGCCCGGCUAAUUUUUAGUAUUUUUAGUAGAGGCAGGGUUUCACCAUAUUGGCCAGGCUGGUCUUGAACUCCUG
This 2567-nucleotide long non-coding RNA is filed under the name Homo sapiens (human). RNAcentral describes it as "non-protein coding LINC00649:8". Lineage: Eukaryota; Metazoa; Chordata; Mammalia; Primates; Hominidae. The record is from RNAcentral.